RNAcentral lists this ribosomal RNA (482 nucleotides) under uncultured bacterium. RNAcentral describes it as "bacterial SSU rRNA". It matches the Rfam family "Bacterial small subunit ribosomal RNA", at positions 11 to 491 of the family's 1533-position model. The record is from RNAcentral.
GUUUGAUCCUGGCUCAGGAUGAACGCUGGCGGCGUGCCUAACACAUGCAAGUCGAGCGAAGCACUUUGCUCCGAAUCUUUCGGGAGGACGAGUGAUUUGACUGAGCGGCGGACGGGUGAGUAACGCGUGGGUAACCUGCCUCACACAGGGGGAUAACAGUUAGAAAUGACUGCUAAUACCGCAUAAGNNCACAGUGUCGCAUGACACAGUGGUAAAAACUCCGGUGGUGUGAGAUGGACCCGCGUCUGAUUAGGUAGUUGGUGAGGUAACGGCUCACCAAGCCGACGAUCAGUAGCCGGCCUGAGAGGGUGGACGGCCACAUUGGGACUGAGACACGGCCCAAACUCCUACGGGAGGCAGCAGUGGGGAAUAUUGCACAAUGGGGGAAACCCUGAUGCAGCGACGCCGCGUGAGCGAAGAAGUAUUUCGGUAUGUAAAGCUCUAUCAGCAGGGAAGAAACUGACGGUACCUGACUAAGAAGC